This 267-nucleotide ribosomal RNA is filed under the name uncultured bacterium. RNAcentral's name for it is "partial 16S ribosomal RNA". It matches the Rfam family "Bacterial small subunit ribosomal RNA", at positions 88 to 354 of the family's 1533-position model. The record is from RNAcentral.
UAGUUUAGUGGCGGACGGGUGAGUAACACGUGAGCAACCUACCUUCGAGAGGGGAAUAACGGCUGGAAACGGUCGCUAAUACCGCAUAACAUACUGGGGGGACAUCCCUUUGGUAUCAAAGAUUUUAUCGCUCGGAGAUGGGCUCGCGUCCGAUUAGGUAGUUGGUGAGGUAACGGCUCACCAAGCCGACGAUCGGUAGCCGGACUGAGAGGUCGAACGGCCACAUUGGGACUGAGACACGGCCCAGACUCCUACGGGAGGCAGCAG